UAAGGAAUAUUGGACAAUGGAGGCAACUCUGAUCCAGCCAUGCCGCGUGAAGGAAUAAGGCCCUAUGGGUUGUAAACUUCUUUUAGACGGGACAAAACCCCUUUACGUGUAAAGGGUUGAUGGUACUGUCAGAAUAAGCAUCGGCUAACUUCGUGCCAGCAGCCGCGGUAAUACGAAGGAUGCAAGCGUUAUCCGGAAUUAUUGGGUUUAAAGGGUGCGUAGGCGGACUAAUAAGUCAGUGGUGAAAGCCUGCAGCUUAACUGCAGAAUUGCCAUUGAUACUGUUAGUCUUGAGUACAGUUGAGGUAGGCGGAAUGUGUCAUGUAGCGGUGAAAUGCUUAGAUAUGACACAGAACACCGAUUGCGAAGGCAGCUUGCUAAGCUGUAACUGACGCUGAGGCACGAAAGCGUGG
This 412-nucleotide ribosomal RNA is filed under the name uncultured bacterium. RNAcentral describes it as "bacterial SSU rRNA". It matches the Rfam family "Bacterial small subunit ribosomal RNA", at positions 355 to 764 of the family's 1533-position model. The record is from RNAcentral.